UGGCUUGGAUUUGGGGGGGUUUUUUGCAGGCUUCCAAGUCGGCUCCCCUGAAAAGCAUUAGUGGUAUCUGAGCAGAAAGACCACCUUGAGCAUGAUAAAUAACUAUGCCACUGGUGUGUGUCUGAUGCAAGCUGCUUUCCAACCCUUGCGCAUUUGACAAAUUUGACCUCAAAUCAGGUAGGACUACCCGCUGAACUUAA
RNAcentral lists this unclassified non-coding RNA (200 nucleotides) under soil metagenome. RNAcentral describes it as "partial contains internal transcribed spacer 2 and large subunit ribosomal RNA". The record is from RNAcentral.